This 305-nucleotide ribosomal RNA is filed under the name uncultured bacterium. Its description in RNAcentral is "bacterial SSU rRNA". It matches the Rfam family "Bacterial small subunit ribosomal RNA", at positions 335 to 637 of the family's 1533-position model. The record is from RNAcentral.
UCGCCUACGGGGGGCAGCAGUGAGGAAUAUUGGUCAAUGGCCGGAAGGCUGAACCAGCCAAGCCGCGUGAAGGACGAAGGUGCCAAGCAUUGUAAACUUCUUUUGUCAAGGGACAAAAUCAGGCUCGAGAGCCUGACCGAGGGUACUUGAAGAAAAAGCAUCGGCUAACUCCGUGCCAGCAGCCGCGGUAAUACGUAGGGGGCAAGCGUUAUCCGGAUUUACUGGGUGUAAAGGGAGCGUAGACGGCGCGGCAAGUCUGAAGUGAAAGGCAGGGGCUUAACCCCUGAACUGCUUUGGAAACUGCC